ACAACAGUGACAGAUCUAAAGCCUGAUAGAACAGUGACAGUCAGGUGGUCUCUACUCGCUUUUGAUGGAAAGUGUAACUCACACAUCAUUAGAGGUGUUACACUGAGCUGGUGGAUGAGACAAGUACUGAUCUGCAGGGAGACUCCAGAUACCAGGUCACACAACGUUCUCCCUGUGACUUCACUCUGUGACAAUCCAGAGGGAGGACAACAACAGGAAGUGGACACGUCAGCUGACUGAAGGAGGAAAAGUAAAAGACCUUCAUUGACUUCACCUCCAUGUUCUCGGGAAGUACCCCAUGCCAGAGAGCAGGAUCCACAACUACUACAUGUAUCAGCUCUGCAAGUCUCUGGACCACAUACACAAUCAUGGGCUCUUCCACCGGUACAUCAAACCAGAGAACAAUCUGAUCAAGCCUCUGGCCUCUCUUUCCUGGGUCAAACGAGCUGGACCAGGGCUCAAAGAUACAUGAUGUCCCUGGAACGCCCAAAGUAGCUGUCCUCCGCAAAUUCAAGCCGUGAGCAGAGACCUCUUAUCAUGACUGCUACUUUGUUAUUGAUAGAAGUCACUGCUUGAACAUAGCCUAACUUUGACAUAUUCUGUCAGUUUCUGGAAAAGGCGUCUAAUUCCCUUUCAACCAGGUCUCAUACAAUGCCCUUCAACUUUCAUAGAGAACAACUGUGGGACAUGUAUAUGUCCCUAUUCCCUAUGUAGUGCACUACUUUUGACCAGGGCCAAUAGAGCUCUAUACUAUAUAGGGAAUAGGGUUUCAUUUGGGACGCACAGCAAGACAGGUUUAUAGAUAUAUAUUUUACCAUCUCCCCUUUUCAGAGAACAACUAUAUUUUACUAUCCACAUACAGUAUAGGCCUGUAUAGAGGCGGCAGGGUAGCCUAGUGGUUAGAGCGUUCAAAUCCCCAAGCUGACAAGGUACAAAUCUGUCGUUCUGCCACAGACAGGCAGUUAACCCACUGUUCCUAGGCCGUCAUUGAAAAUAAGAAUUAGUUCUUAACUGACUUGCCUAGUUAAAGGUUAAAAUGUUACAGUAGAGUGCUGUCCUCUUAAUGUCCACACACUCUCCCUUCACCCAUCCAUAUUUUUAUAGGAUUAAUGUGGCGAGCUGAUUGAAAAGCAAAGCUAUCCAUGUUACUAGGCCCACAGUUGAACUUGGGACGUAUUAAGGCAGUGUGAUGUGGUGACUCAUGUAAAGUGUGUGUGUGUUGUGCCAUGGCAAGCUGCCAGACAGAGUCAGCAGGAUCCUGAAGAGAGAGGGUGCUGGGGACCACCCUAGGCAUGGCAGACUGGUGACCCCUCACAGACAUAUGUAAACCCAUGUGGCACUUAAAGAUGCUAAUCUAGAACUGUGGUACACUGUAGCCUACUGUACACAGACAUCCACAAUACUUCCCCUUAGACACCCUCUCUACUUGUAUAAACCUUGCUGUCUGUCUCCAGCAUUUGCAACAUUGUUUCAAUAUUCAAAUUCGAUCUCCAGCUGUCCGAUAGUAAUGACUAGCUCCUCAGAACAAGUGUCCUGACGAGAGAGCACAUUUCUAUGCCAGGUGAAAUCGCACCUCAUCUCAUUGUUAUGGAUGUGUCCAAAUUAACUUCACUAGAAAACAGAUUAAACAAAGGCAAAUGAGGCUACUGUUGUUAUUCUGUCUGCACUGUUUGACGUGACGUAGUUGGCUAGCAUUAAGCAAGGGGUAAUAACGUUACCAACCAGUUGGGCAAUGGAACAUUUAGAACCAACGACUGGGUCGCGUCCAUAGAUACAGAACAAAAAUACUUAAUGACUGGGUCACAUCUGGCAACCGAAACGAUAGAAUGAACGACCAGCCGGCUUCAGUAGCAACCUUAGAUUUGUGUCAGGACUAUAUCUUGUGAAAGGAUGAAAUAGCAUGAAUACUUUUGUGAAAUUAUGUCAAUCAUUAUUUGAAUAUGUUCGUAAUCUAUUGUAUAAAAGUGGUUUGCCCCGACAACACCUGUGCCAAUACAUACUCCAAAUACAGGCUUCCCUGGCAUUAUCACUUAAAUAUUGUACUUGUUAGUUGAUUUCAAUCUCUGGUUGGACAAAAGUUAUAUUUAUCCUAUUCUGAUAAAGAUGAUUAUAGAUGC
Molecule: long non-coding RNA, 2117 nt
Organism: Oncorhynchus nerka (sockeye salmon)
Lineage: Eukaryota; Metazoa; Chordata; Actinopteri; Salmoniformes; Salmonidae
Exons: 4
Source: RefSeq, a predicted model, not a curated record